GAUGAACGCUAGCGGCAGGCUUAACACAUGCAAGUCGAGGGGCAGCACGAUGUAGCAAUACAUUGGUGGCGACCGGCGCACGGGUGCGUAACACGUAUGGAACUUGCCCUUUACUGGAGAAUAGCCCGGAGAAAUCCGGAUUAAUACUCCAUAACAAUCGAGGUGGCAUCACUUUGGUUUGAAAGCUCCGGCGGUAAAGGAUGGCCAUGCGCACGAUUAGCUAGUUGGUGAGGUAACGGCUCACCAAGGCUACGAUCGUUAGGGGGCCUGAGAGGGUUAUCCCCCACACUGGUACUGAGACACGGACCAGACUCCUACGGGAGGCAGCAGUGAGGAAUAUUGCGCAAUGGAGGCAACUCUGACGCAGCCAUGCCGCGUGCAGGAAAAGGCGCUACGCGUUGUAAACUGCUUUUAACCGGG
RNAcentral lists this ribosomal RNA (420 nucleotides) under uncultured bacterium. RNAcentral describes it as "bacterial SSU rRNA". It matches the Rfam family "Bacterial small subunit ribosomal RNA", at positions 28 to 444 of the family's 1533-position model. The record is from RNAcentral.